RNAcentral lists this ribosomal RNA (489 nucleotides) under uncultured bacterium. RNAcentral's name for it is "bacterial SSU rRNA". It matches the Rfam family "Bacterial small subunit ribosomal RNA", at positions 29 to 502 of the family's 1533-position model. The record is from RNAcentral.
AACGAACGCUGGCGGCGUGCCUAAUACAUGCAAGUCGAACGAGAGGAUGGGGUAACCCAUUAGUAAAGUGGCAGACGGGUGAGUAAUACAUAAGUAACUUACCUUUUAGUUGGGGAUAACCUUCCGAAAGGAGGGCUAAUACCGAAUAAGACCACAAGAACUACGGUUCUAGGGGUUAAAGGUGGCUUCGGCUAUCGCUAAAAGAUGGGCUUAUGCACCAUCAGGUAGUUGGUAAGGUAACGGCUUACCAAGCCUAUGACGGUUAACUGAUCUGAGAGGUUGAUCAGUCACACUGGAACUGAGACACGGUCCAGACUCCUACGGGAGGCAGCAGUAGGGAAUAUUGCGCAAUGGAGGAAACUCUGACGCAGCGACGCCGCGUGGGUGAUGAAGGCUUUCGGGUCGUAAAGCCCUGUCGGAGGAGAAGAAAACGGUAAUGGCUAUAUCCAUACCGCUUGACGGUAUCCUUAAAGGAAGCACCGGCUAACU